AUUGAACGCUAGCGGCAUGCCUUACACAUGCAAGUCGAACGGAAUGGCGGACGGGUGAGUAAUGUAUCGGAAUGUGCCCAGUAGCGGGGGAUAACUACCCGAAAGCGUCGCUAAUACCGCAUACUAUCGGAGCAGCCUAUAUCGGAUGAGCUAGUUGGUGGGGUAACGGCCCACCAAGGCGACGAUCCGUAGCUGGUGUGAGAGGACGAACAGCCAAACUGGGACUGAGACACGGCCCAGACUCCUACGGGAGGCAGCAGUGGGGAAUAUUGGACAAUGGGGGAAAGCCUGAUGCAGCCAUGCGGCGUGUGCGAAGAAGGCCUUCGGGUUGUAAAGCACUUUUAGCAGGAAAGCGGUACCUGCAGAAUAAGCACCGGCUAACUACGUGCCAGCAGCCGCGGUAAUUC
This 407-nucleotide ribosomal RNA is filed under the name uncultured bacterium. RNAcentral's name for it is "partial 16S ribosomal RNA". It matches the Rfam family "Bacterial small subunit ribosomal RNA", at positions 30 to 526 of the family's 1533-position model. The record is from RNAcentral.